This 468-nucleotide ribosomal RNA is filed under the name uncultured bacterium. RNAcentral's name for it is "partial 16S ribosomal RNA". It matches the Rfam family "Bacterial small subunit ribosomal RNA", at positions 28 to 507 of the family's 1533-position model. The record is from RNAcentral.
GACGAACGCUGGCGGCAUGCUUAACACAUGCAAGUCGAACGGAAAGGCCCUGCUUUUGUGGGGUGCUCGAGUGGCGAACGGGUGAGUAACACGUGAGUAACCUGCCCUUGACUUUGGGAUAACUUCAGGAAACUGGGGCUAAUACCGGAUAGGAGCUCCUGCUGCAUGGUGGGGGUUGGAAAGUUUCGGCGGUUGGGGAUGGACUCGCGGCUUAUCAGCUUGUUGGUGGGGUAGUGGCUUACCAAGGCUUUGACGGGUAGCCGGCCUGAGAGGGUGACCGGCCACAUUGGGACUGAGAUACGGCCAAGACUCCUACGGGAGGCAGCAGUGGGGAAUAUUGCACAAUGGGCGGAAGCCUGAUGCAGCAACGCCGCGUGCGGGAUGACGGCCUUCGGGUUGUAAACCGCUUUCGCCUGUGACGAAGCGUGAGUGACGGUAAUGGGUAAAGAAGCACCGGCUAACUACGUG